GAUAAACGCUUGCGGCGUGCCUUAUGCAUGCAUGUCGAACGGUUUUUUGGUUUUCGGAUCAAAGGAUAGUGGCGAAUGGGUGAGUAACACGUAAGUAACCUGCCCCCGAGUAGAGAAUAACUCCGAGAAAUUGGGGCUAAUACUUUAUGUGGUGCUGGGGGUAAUGCUCCAUCACUAAAGCCUUAGGGCGCUUAGGGAGGGGCUUGCGUCCGAUUAGCUAGUUGGUAGAGUAACGGUUUACCAAGGCGAUGAUCGGUAGCUGGUUUGAGAGGAUGGUCAGCCACACUGGGACUGAGAUACGGCCCAGACUCCUACGGGAGGCAGCAGCAAGGAAUUUUGUGCAAUGGGCGAAAGCCUGACACAGCGACGCUGCGUGGGGGAUGAAGGCUUUCGGGUUGUAAACCCCUUUUCUCAGGGAGGAAUAAUGACAGUACCUGAGGAAUAAGCCAUGGCUAACUACGUGCCAGCAGCCGCGGUAAAACGUAGGUGGCGAGCGUUAUCCGGAUUUAUUGGGCGUAAAGAGGGCGCAGGCGGCUUUUCAAGUCGGAUGUAAAAUCUCCCAGCUUAACUGGGAGGGAUCAUUCGAUACUGUUAGGCUAGAGGACAACAGGGGGAGGUAGAAUUCCCGGUGUAGUGGUGAAAUGCGUAGAUAUCGGGAGGAAUACCAGUGGCGAAGGCGGCCUCCUGGGUUGUUACUGACGCUUAAGCCCGAAGGCGUGGGGAGCAAACAGGAUUAGAUACCCUGGUAGUCCACGCUGUAAACUAUGGACACUGGGUAUAGGGAGUAUCGACCCUCUCUGUGCCGAAGCUAACGCGUUAAGUGUCCCGUCUGGGAACUACGGCCGCAAGGUUA
RNAcentral lists this ribosomal RNA (853 nucleotides) under uncultured Chloroflexota bacterium. RNAcentral's name for it is "bacterial SSU rRNA". It matches the Rfam family "Bacterial small subunit ribosomal RNA", at positions 28 to 896 of the family's 1533-position model. The record is from RNAcentral. Lineage: Bacteria; Bacillati; Chloroflexota.